RNAcentral lists this unclassified non-coding RNA (574 nucleotides) under Cladosporium herbarum. Its description in RNAcentral is "sequence contains ITS1, 5.8S rRNA gene and ITS2". The stretch from base 210 to 363 matches the Rfam family "5.8S ribosomal RNA". Lineage: Eukaryota; Fungi; Ascomycota; Dothideomycetes; Cladosporiales; Cladosporiaceae. The record is from RNAcentral.
GGAAGUAAAAGUCGUAACAAGGUCUCCGUAGGUGAACCUGCGGAGGGAUCAUUACAAGAACGCCCGGGCUUCGGCCUGGUUAUUCAUAACCCUUUGUUGUCCGACUCUGUUGCCUCCGGGGCGACCCUGCCUUCGGGCGGGGGCUCCGGGUGGACACUUCAAACUCUUGCGUAACUUUGCAGUCUGAGUAAACUUAAUUAAUAAAUUAAAACUUUUAACAACGGAUCUCUUGGUUCUGGCAUCGAUGAAGAACGCAGCGAAAUGCGAUAAGUAAUGUGAAUUGCAGAAUUCAGUGAAUCAUCGAAUCUUUGAACGCACAUUGCGCCCCCUGGUAUUCCGGGGGGCAUGCCUGUUCGAGCGUCAUUUCACCACUCAAGCCUCGCUUGGUAUUGGGCAACGCGGUCCGCCGCGUGCCUCAAAUCGUCCGGCUGGGUCUUCUGUCCCCUAAGCGUUGUGGAAACUAUUCGCUAAAGGGUGUUCGGGAGGCUACGCCGUAAAACAACCCCAUUUCUAAGGUUGACCUCGGAUCAGGUAGGGAUACCCGCUGAACUUAAGCAUAUCAAUAAGCGGAGGA